RNAcentral lists this ribosomal RNA (395 nucleotides) under uncultured bacterium. Its description in RNAcentral is "bacterial SSU rRNA". It matches the Rfam family "Bacterial small subunit ribosomal RNA", at positions 361 to 773 of the family's 1533-position model. The record is from RNAcentral.
AUAUUGGACAAUGGGGGCAACCCUGAUCCAGCCAUGCCGCGUGAGUGAAGAAGGCCUUAGGGUUGUAAAGCUCUUUCGGCGGUGACGAUGAUGACGGUAACCGCAGAAGAAGCCCCGGCUAACUCCGUGCCAGCAGCCGCGGUAAUACGGAGGGGGCAAGCGUUGUUCGGAAUUACUGGGCGUAAAGGGCGCGUAGGCGGUUUUGCAAGUCAGAGGUGAAAGCCCUGGGCUCAACCUGGGAGGUGCCUUUGAAACUGCGGGACUUGAGUACGGGAGAGGAUGGCGGGAUUCCCAGUGUAGAGGUGAAAUUCGUAGAUAUUGGGAAGAACACCGGUGGCGAAGGCGGCCAUCUGGACCGUAACUGACGCUGAGGCGCGAAAGCGUGGGGAGCAAAC